GAUGAACGCUGGCGGCGUGCCUAAUACAUGCAAGUCGAGCGAACAGACGAGGAGCUUGCUCCUUCGACGUUAGCGGCGGACGGGUGAGUAACACGUAGGUAACCUACCUAUAAGACUGGGAUAACUUCGGGAAACCGGAGCUAAUACCGGAUAAUAUUUCGAACCGCAUGGUUCGAUAGUGAAAGAUGGCUUUGCUAUCACUUAUAGAUGGACCUGCGCCGUAUUAGCUAGUUGGUAAGGUAACGGCUUACCAAGGCAACGAUACGUAGCCGACCUGAGAGGGUGAUCGGCCACACUGGAACUGAGACACGGUCCAGACCCCUACGGGAGGCAGCAGUAGGGAAUCUUCCGCAAUGGGCGAAAGCCUGACGGAGCAACGCCGCGUGAGUGAUGAAGGUCUUCGGAUCGUAAAACUCUGUUAUUAGGGAAGAACAAACGUGUAAGUAACUGUGCACGUCUUGACGGUACCUAAUCAGAAAGCCACGGCUAACUACGUG
RNAcentral lists this ribosomal RNA (497 nucleotides) under uncultured bacterium. RNAcentral describes it as "partial 16S ribosomal RNA". It matches the Rfam family "Bacterial small subunit ribosomal RNA", at positions 28 to 507 of the family's 1533-position model. The record is from RNAcentral.